This 117-nucleotide small nuclear RNA is filed under the name Sciurus vulgaris (Eurasian red squirrel). The record is from RNAcentral. Lineage: Eukaryota; Metazoa; Chordata; Mammalia; Rodentia; Sciuridae.
GUGCUUGCUUCAGCAGCACAUAUACUAAAAUUGGAACAAUACAGAGAAGAUUAGGAUGGCCCCUGAGCAAGAAUCUGGAAAAAUUGUAUCAUGGAGAUAUAUUAGGGAUGAUUUUUU